This 253-nucleotide ribosomal RNA is filed under the name uncultured bacterium. RNAcentral's name for it is "partial 16S ribosomal RNA". It matches the Rfam family "Bacterial small subunit ribosomal RNA", at positions 524 to 776 of the family's 1533-position model. The record is from RNAcentral.
UACGGGGGGGGCAAGCGUUGUUCGGAAUUACUGGGCGUAAAGGGCUUGUAGGUGGCCAACUAAGUCAGACGUGAAAUCCCUCGGCUUAACCGGGGAACUGCGUCUGAUACUGGAUGGCUUGAGUUUGGGAGAGGGAUGCGGAAUUCCAGGUGUAGCGGUGAAAUGCGUAGAUAUCUGGAGGAACACCGGUGGCGAAGGCGGCGACCUGGGUCGAUACUGACGCUGAUGCGCGAAAGCGUGGGGAGCAAACAGG